RNAcentral lists this ribosomal RNA (519 nucleotides) under Fusarium verticillioides. Its description in RNAcentral is "eukaryotic LSU rRNA". The stretch from base 150 to 303 matches the Rfam family "5.8S ribosomal RNA". Lineage: Eukaryota; Fungi; Ascomycota; Sordariomycetes; Hypocreales; Nectriaceae. The record is from RNAcentral.
GGGCAACUGCGGCACUACCAACCCCUGUGAACAUACCAAUUGUUGCCUCGGCGGAUCAGCCCGCUCCCGGUAAAACGGGACGGCCCGCCAGAGGACCCCUAAACUCUGUUUCUAUAUGUAACUUCUGAGUAAAACCAUAAAUAAAUCAAAACUUUCAACAACGGAUCUCUUGGUUCUGGCAUCGAUGAAGAACGCAGCAAAAUGCGAUAAGUAAUGUGAAUUGCAGAAUUCAGUGAAUCAUCGAAUCUUUGAACGCACAUUGCGCCCGCCAGUAUUCUGGCGGGCAUGCCUGUUCGAGCGUCAUUUCAACCCUCAAGCCCAGCUUGGUGUUGGGACUCGCGAGUCAAAUCGCGUUCCCCAAAUUGAUUGGCGGUCACGUCGAGCUUCCAUAGCGUAGUAGUAAAACCCUCGUUACUGGUAAUCGUCGCGGCCACGCCGUUAAACCCCAACUUCUGAAUGUUGACCUCGGAUCAGGUAGGAAUACCCGCUGAACUUAAGCAUAUCAAAGUCCCGGAGAAA